GAGAGGUGGCUGAGUUGGUCUAAGGCACUUGUCUUGAAAACAAGAGAUCCUUUACGGGGUCCGUGGGUUCGAAUCCCACCCUCUCC
Molecule: transfer RNA, 86 nt
Filed under: marine eukaryotic metagenome
Rfam family: tRNA
About the family: Transfer RNA (tRNA) molecules are approximately 80 nucleotides in length. Their secondary structure includes four short double-helical elements and three loops (D, anti-codon, and T loops). Further hydrogen bonds mediate the characteristic L-shaped molecular structure. tRNAs have two regions of fundamental functional importance: the anti-codon, which is responsible for specific mRNA codon recognition, and the 3' end, to which the tRNAs corresponding amino acid is attached (by aminoacyl-tRNA synthetases). tRNAs cope with the degeneracy of the genetic code in two manners: having more than one tRNA (with a specific anti-codon) for a particular amino acid; and 'wobble' base-pairing, i.e. permitting non-standard base-pairing at the 3rd anti-codon position.
Source: RNAcentral